CCUACGGGAGGCAGCAGUGGGGAAUAUUGGACAAUGGGCGAAAGCCUGAUCCAGCCAUGCCGCGUGUGUGAAGAAGGCCUUCGGGUUGUAAAGCACUUUCAGUGGGGAAGAAAGCCUUGGGGCUAAUACCCUCGAGGAAGGACAUCACCCACAGAAGAAGCACCGGCUAACUCCGUGCCAGCAGCCGCGGUAAUACGGAGGGUGCGAGCGUUAAUCGGAAUUACUGGGCGUAAAGCGCGCGUAGGCGGUCUGAUAAGCCGGUUGUGAAAGCCCCGGGCUCAACCUGGGAACGGCAUCCGGAACUGUCAGGCUAGAGUGCAGGAGAGGAAGGUAGAAUUCCCGGUGUAGCGGUGAAAUGCGUAGAGAUAGGGAGGAAUACCAGUGGCGAAGGCGGCCUUCUGGACUGACACUGACGCUGAGGUGCGAAAGCGUGGGUAGCAAACAGGAUUAGAUACCCCAGUAGUC
Molecule: ribosomal RNA, 465 nt
Filed under: Vreelandella stevensii
Lineage: Bacteria; Pseudomonadati; Pseudomonadota; Gammaproteobacteria; Oceanospirillales; Halomonadaceae
Description: partial 16S ribosomal RNA
Rfam family: Bacterial small subunit ribosomal RNA
Source: RNAcentral